Molecule: ribosomal RNA, 1376 nt
Filed under: uncultured bacterium
Lineage: Bacteria
Description: bacterial SSU rRNA
Rfam family: Bacterial small subunit ribosomal RNA
Source: RNAcentral
UUGAACGCUGGCGGUAUGCUUAACACAUGCAAGUCGAACGGAAACGAUACUAGCUUGCUAGUAGGCGUCGAGUGGCGGACGGGUGAGUAACGCGUAGGAAUCUGCCUGAUAGUGGGGGAUAGCCCGAAGAAAUUCGGAUUAAUACCGCAUAAUCUAUUCGUAGUAAAGUGGGGGACUUUCGAGCCUCACGCUAUCAGAUGAGCCUGCGUAAGAUUAGCUUGUUGGUAGGGUAAAAGCCUACCAAGGCGACGAUCUUUAGCUGGUCUGAGAGGAUGAUCAGCCACAUCGGGACUGAGACACGGCCCGAACUCCUACGGGAGGCAGCAGUGGGGAAUAUUGGACAAUGGGGGCAACCCUGAUCCAGCAAUACCGCGUGUGUGAAGAAGGCCUGAGGGUUGUAAAGCACUUUCAAUUGUGAAGAAAAGUUAGCGGUUAAUAACCGUUAGCCUUGACGUUAACUUUAGAAGAAGCACCGGCUAACUCCGUGCCAGCAGCCGCGGUAAUACGGAGGGUGCAAGCGUUAAUCGGAAUUACUGGGCGUAAAGCGUGCGUAGGCGGUUUAUUAAGUCAGAUGUGAAAGCCCCGGGGCUUAACCUGGGAACUGCAUUUGAAACUGGUCAACUAGAGUAUGGUAGAGGAAAGUGGAAUUUCUGGUGUAGCGGUGAAAUGCGUAGAUAUCAGAAGGAACAUCAAUGGCGAAGGCAGCUUUCUGGACCAAUACUGACGCUGAGGUACGAAAGCGUGGGUAGCAAACAGGAUUAGAUACCCUGGUAGUCCACGCCGUAAACGAUGAUAACUAGCCGUUGGGGGGAUUUACCCUUUAGUGGCGAAGCUAACGCGUUAAGUUAUCCGCCUGGGGAGUACGGCCGCAAGGUUAAAACUCAAAGGAAUUGACGGGGACCCGCACAAGCGGUGGAGCAUGUGGUUUAAUUCGAUGCAACGCGAAGAACCUUACCUGGUCUUGACAUCCUGCGAACUUUCUAGAAAUAGAUUGGUGCCUUCGGGAACGCAGUGACAGGUGCUGCAUGGCUGUCGUCAGCUCGUGUCGUGAGAUGUUGGGUUAAGUCCCGUAACGAGCGCAACCCCUAUCCUUAUUUGCCAGCACAUCAUGGUGGGAACUAUAAGGAGACUGCCGGUGAUAAACCGGAGGAAGGCGGGGACGACGUCAAGUCAUCAUGGCCCUUACGACCAGGGCUACACACGUGCUACAAUGGGAAGGACAAAGAGCCGCGAAGCCGCGAGGUGUAGCUAAUCUCAUAAACCUUUUCGUAGUCCGGAUUGGAGUCUGCAACUCGACUCCAUGAAGUCGGAAUCGCUAGUAAUCGUAGAUCAGAAUGCUACGGUGAAUACGUUCCCGGGUCUUGUACUCACCGCCC